Silurus meridionalis is the source of this 799-nucleotide long non-coding RNA. RefSeq lists it as uncharacterized. The transcript is spliced from 5 exons. The record is from RefSeq and is a predicted model, not a curated record. Lineage: Eukaryota; Metazoa; Chordata; Actinopteri; Siluriformes; Siluridae.
UCCGCCGGAAGUAGCUAACAUGUUUUGUUUAUGUGCGGUUUGUUUUUUCAGGCGGGAGUAACAGUUUGUGGUUGCACUUUUUACCAAAAGAAGCAUAAGUUUCUUAAUGAACAGUGCUAUAAACCAAGCCCGUGCACAGAGGGGUGGUGUCCCGGUGCCUAGAGCCACUCAUCUGCCCUCAUCGGCUGAGGUGUCCCUCUCCCCCACCCCACCAAAGCGUUCUGUUAAUCCUGACUCUGAUAAUCCACUCCGUGUUUUCUCCCCCGCUCAGCAUCACUCACAAUCCGUGUGAAGAGAUUUUCCGAAGGUCGCUGCAUGAACAGGAUGUGCCCUGGAAUGUGUAAGAACUGGAAUGUCAAGCAAGAAUGAGCAGGAAGGUGACACGGUGACUUUACUCCAUACCCUACUAUUAAAAGACAAAUACACUAUAUGGAAAAACGUAUUGGGACACCUGACUUUUCCAGCUAUAUGUAGUAAAUUUCUACACUGUUAGCACAGCAGGAUGACAUCACUGGAGGAAAGCUUGAAGACAGACGUGUGUGAGGGGGGUGUAGACGGAGAGGUGGAGCAAAGCAAGGAAGUGCUGCACAAUGCUGACAUCAGACUGUUCACUGCAUCCAUUCACUGCACAAGCACAAUUUGGCUCCUUUAUAUUAUAUCUAUCAGAUGUGGGUGUGCUGAAGAACGUGUCCAACUCCAGCAGCAAAACAGGCAGAAUACCGUCCAAUAACGCCAAACCCUCCCAGGAACAGCGCAGUCCUCUACAGACACAAAGUAAGAAUCAGAGCCAGUGUUUAAG